RNAcentral lists this ribosomal RNA (301 nucleotides) under uncultured bacterium. Its description in RNAcentral is "partial 16S ribosomal RNA". It matches the Rfam family "Bacterial small subunit ribosomal RNA", at positions 509 to 808 of the family's 1533-position model. The record is from RNAcentral.
CAGUAGCCGCGGUAAUACGAAGGGUGCAAGCGUUAAUCGGAAUUACUGGGCGUAAAGCGUGCGUAGGCGGUCUGUCAAGUCAGAUGUGAAAUCCCCGGGCUUAACCUGGGAACUGCAUUUGAAACUGGCAGGCUAGAGUCUUGUAGAGGGGGGUAGAAUUCCAGGUGUAGCGGUGAAAUGCGUAGAGAUCUGAGGAAUACCGGUGGCGAAGGCGGCCCCCUGGACAAAGACUGACGCUCAGGUGCGAAAGCGUGGGGAGCAAACAGGAUUAGAUACCCCUGUAGUCCCUGUCUCUUAUACA